RNAcentral lists this unclassified non-coding RNA (425 nucleotides) under soil metagenome. RNAcentral's name for it is "partial contains 5.8S ribosomal RNA, internal transcribed spacer 2, and large subunit ribosomal RNA". The stretch from base 1 to 120 matches the Rfam family "5.8S ribosomal RNA", at positions 35 to 154 of the family's 154-position model. The record is from RNAcentral.
GAUGAAGAACGUAGCGAAAUGCGAUAAGUAGUGUGAAUUGCAGAAUUCCGUGAAUCAUCGAAUAUUUGAACGCACAUUGCGCCUUCUGGUAUUCCGGAAGGCAUGCCUGUUCGAGAGUCAUUAACAACCGUUUCGAUCCCUUUCUUUCAGAAAUUACAAAGAGGAAAAGGGUUUGGUUAUGGUGGAGGAGGGAAAGGGAGCGUUUAGCCUGUAAAAAAAGAGGCUGUGUUCCGCCUCCCCCCCAAAAUUGUACAGGCGGUCGUGUGCGCCCACGCAUCGAGGUGUUGUAAAAGCUGCCACGGCACUUUUCACCUGUGCAGUGCGAGAUUGGCCAGCCGGUUUAAAAACCCCUCCAAACAAUCAAAGGUUGACCUCGGAUCAGGUAGGGAUACCCGCUGAACUUAAGCAUAUCAAUAAGCGGAGGA